RNAcentral lists this ribosomal RNA (492 nucleotides) under uncultured bacterium. Its description in RNAcentral is "partial 16S ribosomal RNA". It matches the Rfam family "Bacterial small subunit ribosomal RNA", at positions 29 to 507 of the family's 1533-position model. The record is from RNAcentral.
AGUGAACGCUGGCGGUAGGCCUAACACAUGCAAGUCGAACGGCAGCACAGUAAGAGCUUGCUCUUACGGGUGGCGAGUGGCGGACGGGUGAGGAAUACAUCGGAAUCUACUUUUUCGUGGGGGAUAACGUAGGGAAACUUACGCUAAUACCGCAUACGACCUACGGGUGAAAGCAGGGGAUCUUCGGACCUUGCGCGAUUGAAUGAGCCGAUGUCGGAUUAGCUAGUUGGCGGGGUAAAGGCCCACCAAGGCGACGAUCCGUAGCUGGUCUGAGAGGAUGAUCCGCCACACUGGAACCGAGACACGGUCCCGACCCCUACGGGAGGCAGCAGUGGGGAAUAUUGGACAAUGGGCGCAAGCCUGAUCCAGCCAUACCGCGUUGGUGAAGAAGGCCUUCGGGGUGUAAAGCCCUUUUUUUGGGAAAGAAAAGCAGCAGGUUAAUACCCCGCUGUUCUGACGGUACCCAAAGAAUAAGCACCGGCUAACUUCGUG